This is a non-coding RNA of Homo sapiens (human), 148 nucleotides long. It matches the Rfam family "Metazoan signal recognition particle RNA". Rfam says of the family: The signal recognition particle (SRP) is a universally conserved ribonucleoprotein. NCBI's taxonomy places the organism in Eukaryota, Metazoa, Chordata, Mammalia, Primates, Hominidae. The record is from Rfam.
GCUGGGCGUGGUGGUGCACGCCUGUAGUCCCAGCUACUCAGGAGGCUGAGGCAGGAGAAUUGCUUGAACCCGGGAGGUGGAGGUUGCAGUGAGCUGAGAUGGUGCCACUGCACUCCAGCCUGGGCAACAGAGUGAGACUCUGUCUCAA